This 347-nucleotide unclassified non-coding RNA is filed under the name soil metagenome. RNAcentral describes it as "partial contains 5.8S ribosomal RNA, internal transcribed spacer 2, and large subunit ribosomal RNA". The stretch from base 1 to 120 matches the Rfam family "5.8S ribosomal RNA", at positions 35 to 154 of the family's 154-position model. The record is from RNAcentral.
GAUGAAGAACGCAGCGAAAUGCGAUAAGUAAUGUGAAUUGCAGAAUUCAGUGAAUCAUCGAGUCUUUGAACGCACAUUGCGCCCCCUGGUAUUCCGGGGGGCAUGCCUGUCCGAGCGUCAUUGCCGCCCUCAAGCACGGCUUGUGUGUUGGGCCCCCGCCCCCCGGCUUCGGGGGGCGGGCCCGAAAGGCAGCGGCGGCACCGCGUCCGGUCCUCGAGCGUAUGGGGCUUCGUCACCCGCUCUGUAGGCCCGGCCGGCGCCCGCCGGCGACCCCAAUCAAUCUUUCCAGGUUGACCUCGGAUCAGGUAGGGAUACCCGCUGAACUUAAGCAUAUCAAUAAGCGAGGA